UGCCUCAGCCCCUCUGUGCUUUUGCCUGU
Molecule: non-coding RNA, 29 nt
Filed under: Mus musculus (house mouse)
Lineage: Eukaryota; Metazoa; Chordata; Mammalia; Rodentia; Muridae
Source: RNAcentral